Molecule: unclassified non-coding RNA, 218 nt
Filed under: Hevea brasiliensis (rubber tree)
Lineage: Eukaryota; Viridiplantae; Streptophyta; Magnoliopsida; Malpighiales; Euphorbiaceae
Source: RNAcentral
UGAGUUGAGUUGAGUUGAGUUGCUUUGGCAGUUCGGCUUUUGGAGAAGUGAACAAAUUUUUAACCAAUACAAAUCAAUGAAUUAAGCUCACAAAGAGACAAGAAUCACUUUGAUAACGAGAUUUUUUUUUUUUUCUAUGCAAACUCUCAGAAACCAAAUUUACAAAAAUGUAUAACAAGUUAUCAUGGUCCCCCUGGCUAGAUAAUGUAAAUAACUUA